This 468-nucleotide ribosomal RNA is filed under the name uncultured bacterium. RNAcentral's name for it is "partial 16S ribosomal RNA". It matches the Rfam family "Bacterial small subunit ribosomal RNA", at positions 28 to 507 of the family's 1533-position model. The record is from RNAcentral.
GACGAACGCUGGCGGCGUGCUUAACACAUGCAAGUCGAACGGAAAGGCCCGGCUUUUGUGGCGUGCUCGAGUGGCGAACGGGUGAGUAACACGCGAGUAACCUGCCCUUGACUUUGGGAUAACUUCAGGAAACUGGGGCGAAUACCGCAUAGGAUCUCCUGCUGCAUGGUGGGGGAUGGAAAGUUUCGGCGGUUGGGGAUGGACUCGCGGCUUAUCAGCUUGUUGGUGGGGUAGUGGCUUACGAGGGCUUUGACGGGUACCCCGCAUGAGAGGGUUACCGGCCACAAUGGGACUGAGAGACGGACCAGACUGCUACGGGAGGCAGCAGUGGGGAAUAUUGCACAAUGGGCGGAAGUCUGAUGCAGAAACGCCGCGUGCGGGAUGACCGCUUUCUGGUUGUAAACCACUUUCGACUGUGACGAAGAGUGAGUGACGGUAAUGGGUAAAGAAGCACCGGCUAACUACGUG